CAUCCCCUUAGACACACACCAUUGCCUGACAGGCAUGCAGCCCCAUUUGUGCAGGCGCAACUAUUAGUGGUGCAAAAUAGCACCUGGGAUGUGCGCACGCUCGGCCUGCUCACGAGCUGACCGCUGCAACACUGCGGCCACAGGCCCGUGGGCAAUCGGAAAAUUAAACAUAAAACCCGAAACACAAUUCCCCAUCGUGGGAGGAGUGGUUUAGGAGGAGCAAAAACUAUUUUUGGACGGCUUUGUCCAGGGGCUUUUGCGUUCGGCUGUGGAUCAAACAUUCCAAUCUGUGCACACACAGCCGACGUAGAGGAGGUUGAUAUAUCAGCGCACGACUGUGUGCGUGAGUGUGCAUCACAAGAGUUGUAGAUGGGUAGAUUGAUGGCAGUCUGCGCAGUAUACAGUCCCAGCGAUCAUGGUCGUCUUUGGUGUUGGAGAGCAAGCGUAUACGCUAGGUGCCCCGUCUCGAAUUGACGUCCACUCCAAUUAUGGAGAGGGAACAUCAUGACACUUUUUUUCAGAAUGGCUUGCACAGGUUGAUUGGAGCUCGGCAGGCAAGAUAACACACAUUUAUGAGCCACCACGCAUCUUAGCACAUUGAAUUGCUGGCUCUGGAUGCACACACACACACAGUAGACUGCAUAUCAGUGUUAGAGUACUACCGUACGUACCGUGCAUUGCUCACACCAAGCACAUCAAGCACACAAUCAAAGAAUGAAACGUAAUCAAACAAAACAGCACAGUCCAGGCCCAAAAACAUUCGCUUGCUUUCCCAUACCAAGUUAGGAUUAGGUUCACGCGUAAUCUCGCUUUCUAUCUCUCUCUACCUCUAUGUCUCUCUAUCUAUCUCUCUCUCUCUCUCUCUUCCUGUCUAUUUCUCUAUCUUUCUUUCUCCUCUUUACUUCGUCCCUGCCCUUGACUAGGUGUACAGAUAAUCUGUCAACACACUCACAGCAGGCACUUCGCACGGGGAUGCGGUUAAUCGAAAACAGGACGAUUCUCCUUGGCACACUUUGACCACCGAACACGUAAGCACACACACACACACAACGGAAAGCGAACAAACGAA
This is a long non-coding RNA of Anopheles gambiae (African malaria mosquito), 1069 nucleotides long. RefSeq lists it as uncharacterized. NCBI's taxonomy places the organism in Eukaryota, Metazoa, Arthropoda, Insecta, Diptera, Culicidae. The transcript has 2 exons. The record is from RefSeq and is a predicted model, not a curated record.